RNAcentral lists this ribosomal RNA (526 nucleotides) under Sarcocystis rileyi. Its description in RNAcentral is "partial 18S ribosomal RNA". The record is from RNAcentral. Lineage: Eukaryota; Apicomplexa; Conoidasida; Eucoccidiorida; Sarcocystidae.
UUUCCCAUCAUUCCAAUCACUAGAAAUAGAAUUUCCAGCGUUGUUAUUUCUUGUCACUACCUCCCUGAGUCAGGAUUGGGUAAUUUGCGCGCCUGCUGCCUUCCUUAGAUGUGGUAGCCGUUUCUCAGGCUCCCUCUCCGGAAUCGAACCCUAAUUCCCCGUUACCCGUCACUGCCACGGUAGUCCAAUACAGUACCGUCGAAAGCUGAUAGGUCAGAAACUUGAAUGAUCCAUCGCCGACCCGAAGGUCAUAAUGCGAUCCGUUCGGUUACUAUGAAUCACCUGAGGACCACCCGAAGGUGGGUUGGUUCUGUAUCUAAUAAACACUACCCUUCCACGAGGGAAGAGGUAUGUGCGCAUGUAUUAGCCAUAGAAUUACCACGGUUAUCCAUGUAGUAAAGACCAUCAAAUAAACUAUAACUGUUUUAAUGAGCCAUUCGCAGUUUCGCCGUAUAAAAGCUUAUACUUAGACAUGCAUGGCUUAAUCUUUAAGACAAGCAUAUGACUACUGGCAGGAUCAACCAGA